GUCAGUCGAUCGUUAUUUCUGUUUGUUAUUUUGGUGUUCAUUUUGUAUUCAUUAAAACGUCGAGAUGAGCAUUCACAUACCUGCUGCGUUUUGGUCCUCUUUAACCGACGACAAGCGUGACACAACUGCUUUAAAUCCUCUGUGUCUGUCAGCUCUUACAGCAGCCAGGUCAGAAUAUGUUGUUCAACCAUGUUUCUCAAAGGUCAAAUGUUGAAGUUGUUCCAAAUGUCAAAUUUCGAUGUGUUUAAGGUUAAGUUUAGAAAUGAAGGUUAAGUUAAGGUAUUAACUGAAGAGUUUUUAAGGUUAGGGUUAAGUUAAGAUAUUAAUUCAGAGUUUUUAAGGUUAGGGUUAUGUUAAGGUAUUAAUUCAGAGUUUUUAAGGUUAGGGUCAAGUUAAGACACUAACUCCAAAUUCUUAAAGUUAGGCAUUAAUGAAUGGUUAAGGUAUUAACUCUGAAUGGUUAAGGUAAGGGUUAAGGUUAGGCAUUAAUGAAUGGUUAAGGUAAAGGUUAUGGUUAGGCAUUAAUGAAUGGUUAAGGUAAGGGUUAAGGUUAGGCAUUAAUGAAUGGUUAAGGUAAGGGUUAAGGUUAGGCAUGAAUGAAUGGUUAAGGUAAAGGUUAUGGUUAGGCAUUAAUUAAUGGUUAAGGUAAGGGUUAAGGUUAGGCAUUAAUGAAUGGUUAAGGUAAAGGUUAUGGUUAGGCAUUAAUAAAUGGUUAAGGUAAGGGUUAAGGUUAG
This 734-nucleotide long non-coding RNA is filed under the name Salmo salar (Atlantic salmon). RNAcentral describes it as "lncRNA (ENSSSAG00000105637.1)". Lineage: Eukaryota; Metazoa; Chordata; Actinopteri; Salmoniformes; Salmonidae. The record is from RNAcentral.